Non-coding RNA from Momordica charantia (bitter melon), 2713 nucleotides. The record is from RefSeq and is a predicted model, not a curated record. NCBI's taxonomy places the organism in Eukaryota, Viridiplantae, Streptophyta, Magnoliopsida, Cucurbitales, Cucurbitaceae.
UCUCUCUCUGAAUUUAUUUCCCUUUAUUAAUUGAAAAAUCCCAAUUCUCGGAACCCAAAACAAAUCCUCCCCACCACUUUUCGUUUUUUUAUCUUAAACUUUUUUAUUUUUAUAUUUUGUUAUUUUUGCGAAGUUUGCUUCCCAUUUGGAUUAGGGUUUCUUCUUGCUUCACCUUCUUCGUCUUGGAGUGAAAAAGCUGAUACCCUCCCGAUCUGUUCUACUAGCCGUUAACUUCUAUUUUCCCGCCAAUUUUAGCUAUCCUCUAUCCAUUUCUUUACUCGUGUUUGCUCCUGUCGUUUUCCGCAGCCGGGGUCUUUUGCAAUUUUUUUUGACCGUUGCUCUCUCUGGGCUUGGCGGGAAAUGUCUGCGCUCGACGCCGGUACGAAGGUCGAGGAGGUUAACGAGAAGGAAGAGAAGGGGGGUGAGCUUUUGUUCUGUGGUGCUACGUGCUGGGAUAUAAUUGGUCGGAAAAAAGGCUCCGUUGAAGGCAACUUGGUCUCCCCCACUCGCCUUCGCCCGCUCGUCGGCGUUGACAUUCGUUUUGUCGCUUCUGGGUGCGCAUCGUGUCAUUGUGUGGCAUUGGACGUGGAAGGGCGCUGCUAUACAUGGGGACGCAAUGAGAAAGGUCAACUGGGGCAUGGAGAUUUGAUUCAGCGAGAUAGGCCUACUAUAGUAUCUGACCUUUCAAAGUACAAGGUGGUUAAAGCUGGAGCAGGGAAAAGUCACACGGUAGUGGUUACUGAAGAUGGAAAUUCUCUUGCUUUUGGCUGGAACAAACAUGGCCAGUUGGGUUCGGGUUCAGUGAAAAAUGAAAGAGAGUUAUCUCCUGUACGUUGUCUUGUAUCUGAAGUGAAAAAUACUGCUUGUGGGGGUGAAUUCACUGUGUGGUUAUCUUCUAUUGAAGGAUCUUCCAUACUUACUGCCGGUCUUCCACAGUAUGGACAGCUUGGGCAUGGAACCGAUAAUGAGUACAACACCAAGGAUAGCUCAGUUAGACUUGCUUAUGAAGCCCAACCACGUCCUAGAGCAAUUGCUUCCCUUUCUGGAGAAAAGAUUGUUAAAGUUGCUUGUGGAACAAAUCACACAGUGGCAGUGGAUUCUAAUGGCUUUGUUUACACGUGGGGCUUUGGCGGCUAUGGAAGACUUGGGCAUAGAGAGCAGAAGGAUGAAUGGGCUCCUCGACGUGUGGAUGUAUUUCAGAGGAAAAAUGUUCUGCCUCCGGAUGCUAUUGUUUCAGCAGGUUCUGUAAACUCAGCUUGUACUGCAGGUGGAGGGCAGCUAUACAUGUGGGGAAAAAUAAAAAAUACAGGAGAUGACUGGAUGUAUCCCAAACCUCUCAUGGAUUUAAGUGGAUGGAAUUUAAGAUGCAUGGACUCGGGCAACAUGCACCAUUUUGUGGGUGCCGAUAACUCGUGCAUAAGUUGGGGCCAUGCCCAAUAUGGAGAGCUGGGAUAUGGCCCUUUAGGGCAGAAGUCUUCUGCAGUACCCAAAAAGGUUGACAUCCUGGAGAACAUGCAUGUCAUAAGUGUUGCAUGUGGAGCUGGGUACUCUAUGGUUGUUGUUGAUAGAACGAAUGUAGCCGACCGACUUGAUCAGCUCGAUAUACAUGACGGCAAAGCUUUUGAUGAAGAGAAUGCAGUAGUCGAAAGUAAAGUUUCGGCUGUCAAGCAAACUCCAAAGGCUGCUAAAACUUCACAAAACGCGAAGAAGAGGAGGAAAUCUAAAGAGUCAUCUGACUCAGAAGAGGAGGAAGAGGAGGAAAACGAAGAUGGUGACAGCAGCGGUGAAGAGGCGAACGGGCUGUCAGAUACGAGUGAUCAAUAUGGAAGCAAGGUUUCUAGUAAAGGUAGAGGUAGAGGAAAGGGUGGUAAAAACUCAUCUGCCAGCGGAAAGGGAGGCAGUGGUCGUGGACGGGGUCGGCCCCCAUCAAACAAGAAAUCUGCAUCUUCUCAAGGAAAAACAGCAGCUAAGAGAGGCAGGCCUCGGAAGGCAUGAAAGGCGGCAUCCAUCAUAGUGUAGGUUUAAUUGGUGAUCAUUUUCUUCAGUCAAAGUGAAGUCAACAACUCUAUUCGUCCGGACGAUAUAUCUGCAAUUUUGAGAUUAUUUCAUCACCACUAUUUAUUUUCAAUUAUAUGAUUAUCCAGAGAUGAUGUACUUACCCUACUUACCCAACGACAUCAAUCAUUCAGAACUUCACCAAGUUUUUUGAGUCAUGAAGAACAGCAUUCUCAAACACCUAUUGUAAAGCCGCCUACAACAGUGAGAAUAGAGGAUUGAUAUGAUAUGUGGAUCAAUAAGAUGGACAUUCCUGUUAUGAGGUCGUGAUUCGAGGGUCGUGCUGGGACUGAUCUGAGCAAUCAUGUUUGCUUCUAAAGCAAGGAAUGGGAAGCUGUUUGCUUCUCGUGAGAGCACAUUCGGGUGGUGGUUCUCAAGUUCUUGAUCUCGCUCCUAACCGAGCUUGCUGGAAUACAGCCAUCAGAGGACCCAUCUCCAAAGAUUCUAACAUCUCAACCCCCCCUCUUGGAAAGCAGAUGCUGUUGAAUUACUGGUGAAGGAGACUUUGUGCAUAUCAUUUUCCUUUGUCUUUUGUAUCAUCUUUCCAGUUCAUAAAGGUUCACAGUAACAUUUUCGAGUGCAUUGUCACAUUCAACUUCAAAUGAGAAGCGGGUUUUUCGUAUUCGGCCCAAGCCCGCCAUCUUUGUAUGUUUAGUUA